GAUGAACGCUGGCGGCGUGCUUAACACAUGCAAGUCGAACGGUGAAGGCGGAGCUUGCUCUGCUGGAUCAGUGGCGAACGGGUGAGUAACACGUGAGCAAUCUGCCCCUGACUCUGGGAUAAGCGCUGGAAACGGCGUCUAAUACUGGAUACGAGCUGCGAAGGCAUCUUCAGCAGCUGGAAAGAAUUUCGGUCAGGGAUGAGCUCGCGGCCUAUCAGCUUGUUGGUGGGGUAAUGGCUCACCAAGGCGUCGACGGGUAGCCGGCCUGAGAGGGUGACCGGCCACACUGGGACUGAGACACGGCCCAGCAUCCUACGGGAGGCAGCAGUGGGGAAUAUUGCACAAUGGGCGAAAGCCUGAUGCAGCAACGCCGCGUGAGGGACGACGGCCUUCGGGUUGUAAACCUCUUUUAGCAGGGAAGAAGCGAAAGUGACGGUACCUGCAGAAAAAGCGCCGGCUAACUACGUG
Molecule: ribosomal RNA, 468 nt
Filed under: uncultured bacterium
Lineage: Bacteria
Description: partial 16S ribosomal RNA
Rfam family: Bacterial small subunit ribosomal RNA
Source: RNAcentral